Molecule: transfer RNA, 92 nt
Filed under: Actinopolymorpha cephalotaxi
Lineage: Bacteria; Bacillati; Actinomycetota; Actinomycetes; Propionibacteriales; Actinopolymorphaceae
Description: tRNA_Ser_TGA
Rfam family: tRNA
About the family: Transfer RNA (tRNA) molecules are approximately 80 nucleotides in length.
Source: RNAcentral
GGAGGGCUCGCAUAGUGGCCUAGUGCGGCGGUCUUGAAAAUCGCUAAGGCAGGACCCACCUGUCUUCAUGGGUUCGAAUCCCAUGCCCUCCG